UAGCAUGCAUACCACAAAAUAAAAGUUUCAAAUCCUUUGAUCUUUUGCUGGUUCUUAAGCUCGUUACUGAAAUGAUGUCAUUCUCAGUACUUCAGGUGAAACGAUUGCAACCGGAACUUAUAACUCCGGCAAAGUCAACGCCUCAAGAAACAAAGUUUCUCUCAGAUAUUGACGACCAAGAAAGCUUGAGAGUUCAGAUUCCAAUCAUAAUGUGUUACAAAGACAACCCUUCACUUAAUAAAAAUCGUAAUCCCGUUAAGGCAAUUAGGGAAGCCUUAAGUAGAGCAUUAGUGUAUACUACCCCAGCUGAAGGCUUAGGGAAGGGCCUAAUAGAAAGCUCGUGGUGAUGCAAUGGUGAAGUAUCUUGUUCGUUGAGGCUUCUGCUGAUGUCACACUUGAGCAACUAGGAGACAAAAUUCUACCCCCUUGUCCACUUUUAGAGGAGUUCUUAUAUAAUUUUCCAGGCUCUGAUGGAAUUAUUGAUUGUCCUUUGCUGCUGAUUCAGGUGAGUCAAUUAAUUAUCAAUUACAUGUUAUUUAGUUUUUCAUAUUCAUCAACAAUGUGUGAUGCAGCUGGAUCUCUUGUUCCUGACGCCAUCGCGGAGAUGCAAGAGCGCACAUGCACAUCUAUUCUACCAGUGUGGAGAAAGCUCUUUUCGCUCGAAUCCACCAAGAUACAUGUGCUCAUCAUGAAUAUGAAGACUGAUUGGUCAUUCUGAUGGCUCAUAGCAUCCAGUACCAGUCAAACAUGGUCAACGAUCUUUCUACUUUGGUUGCAAGGAGAUGAGAGUCCUUCGAAAACAGAUUCCACCCCACCUAAUUUCCACUUGCUCCACAUUUGACUUGAUCACAGCUUGUUUGUGGAAAUGUCGCACUCUUGCACUUAACAUUAAUCCAAAAGAGGCUGUUCGAGUUUCAUGCAUUGUCAAUGCACGAGGAAAGCACAACAAUGUACGUCUUCCCUUGGGAUACUAUGGCAAUGCAUUUGCAUUUCCAGCUGCAAUUUCGAAGGCUGAACCUCUAUGCAAAAAUCCACUGGGAUAUGCUUUGGAGUUGGUGAAGAAGGCUAAAGCUACCAUGAAUGAAGAAUACUUAAGAUCAGUGGCAGAUCUUUUGGUACUAAGAGGGCGACCUCAAUAUUCAUCGACAGGAAGUUAUUUAAUAGUUUCUGAUAAUACGCGUGUAGGUUUUGGAGAUGUCAAUUUUGGAUGGGGACAGCGUAUUUGGACCCGUCAAGGCCUUGGAUGAUUAGCUCUACGUUCAACACAAAAACACAGAGGAUGGAAUAUUGGACCAAUGUGUUUGCCAUCCUCGCCAUGGAGAGAUUUCAGCAGGACUAGAGAGGAUUACUCAGGAACCUAA
Molecule: non-coding RNA, 1361 nt
Organism: Malus domestica (apple)
Lineage: Eukaryota; Viridiplantae; Streptophyta; Magnoliopsida; Rosales; Rosaceae
Source: RefSeq, a predicted model, not a curated record